AAAUAGUUCCGGUAGGCCAGGCUCCUACAGGGAUAUGGACUGCUGCCGCAACAGGAUGGAGACAUCCCGCGUAGGUCUGAACAGGCUGCGUCAAACAAGAAGGCGCCGCAUAAUGCAGUUUCACCGCCCUGUAGAGUUAAAGCUCGUACGGUGGCAGUGGGA
This 162-nucleotide small RNA is filed under the name Acidaminococcus fermentans. Its description in RNAcentral is "Magnesium sequence". It matches the Rfam family "M-box riboswitch aptamer (ykoK leader)". From Rfam's summary of the family: M-box riboswitch, also know as ykoK leader is described as a metaloregulatory RNA that sense divalent metals and function as a genetic control element of genes related to divalent metal transport in bacteria. It was first reported upstream of the B.subtilis ykoK gene and genes with related functions in other bacteria. The record is from RNAcentral. RNAcentral also lists the same sequence under 1 other name. Lineage: Bacteria; Bacillati; Bacillota; Negativicutes; Acidaminococcales; Acidaminococcaceae.